CCGCAUUCGCCCUUCGGGGCGCACCAGGCGCGAAAACUUUGCAAUGCGGGAAACCGUGACAAGGGAACUCUGAGUGCCCGUUAAAUCGGGCUGUCCAUCGGUUUAAAUAACCGGUGAAGAAAGGGCCGGGCAAGACCGGUGCCAGCCGCCGCGGUAAUACCGGCGGCUCGAGUGGUGGCCACUAUUACUGGGCUUAAAGCGUUCGUAGCUGGUUUGUUAAGUCUCUGGGGAAAUCUUCCGGCUUAACCGGAAGGCGUCUCAGGGAUACUGGCAGACUAGGGACCGGGAGAGGUGAGAGGUACUCCAGGGGUAGGAGUGAAAUCCUGUAAUCCUUGGGGGACCACCUGUGGCGAAGGCGUCUCACCAGAACGGCUCCGACAGUGAGGGACGAAAGCUGGGGGAGCAAACCGGAUUAGAUACCCGGGUAGUCCCAGCUGUAAACGAUGCGCGUUAGGUGUAUCGGUGACCACGAGUCACCGAGGUGCCGAAGAGAAAUCGUGAAACGUGCCGCCUGGGAAGUACGGUCGCAAGGCUGAAACUUAAAGGAAUUGGCGGGGGAGCAC
RNAcentral lists this ribosomal RNA (563 nucleotides) under uncultured archaeon. RNAcentral describes it as "bacterial SSU rRNA". It matches the Rfam family "Archaeal small subunit ribosomal RNA", at positions 312 to 879 of the family's 1478-position model. The record is from RNAcentral.